CCGAUGGGGAUGGGAGGGAGAACUGGAAAGCUCCUUCUGGGCACCAUCUAACCAGCCACUUUUGUUCUGAUAUUUGCUUUUAUCAGUUAUCACAAAUCCUGGAGUUGUUCCACUACUCAAAUAAAAAGAAAUUGCCCAGAAACGUCAUCUGCUCAUGUUGUAUACUGCUCUGAAUGCUACCUGCAAAUUUCUCACUCCCCAGUUCCAUACCUUUCUGUUUUAAAACUCAAAAUCCUUCCAAUUUCAUAACUCCUGGGCUUCAAGCCUCUCCCUCACUCACUUCUAUCAUUAUGAGCUGAAAAGAUUAUAUACCGAGGUGUACCCUCUGUGUCUGCACAAUAUGUAUUCCAGUCUCCAGCACCUUGGCAACAGAACCUUCCCAAAUGACAGGAUGGGACAUUCCAUUCAAGAGUUGAUUAAAUUCUACCUGCAGUAUGAACUAAUUUGUUAGAGGGGGAAGUGCAGUCAAAAGGCUUAGGGCAGAGAUGGGAGAAGAUCCUGAAAAACAGAUCUGCAUGGGUAAAAAGCCAAGAAUUGCAUUGCUAUUAGUAGAGCAGCAGCAAGCAGCAGAAUGUGUUUCAGCAGGAACACGAGAGGUCCCUACGGCUGUGUGACAAAACAGUCAAGCAUUGCACCGAAGGAAUUAAGCACCAAAUCUGGUAGAUGGAAGUACCGCCCUUGUGUCAAACCGAGGUAGGCAGUGAAGCAAAUGCUGUUACUUUGGAGGCAAUUUUU
This 735-nucleotide long non-coding RNA is filed under the name Gallus gallus (chicken). RNAcentral describes it as "long non-coding RNA NONGGAT009936". The record is from RNAcentral. Lineage: Eukaryota; Metazoa; Chordata; Aves; Galliformes; Phasianidae.